Molecule: ribosomal RNA, 445 nt
Filed under: uncultured bacterium
Lineage: Bacteria
Description: bacterial SSU rRNA
Rfam family: Bacterial small subunit ribosomal RNA
Source: RNAcentral
AAAGUGGCGCACGGGUGAGUAACGCGUGGAUAAUCUGCCCUUAUGAUCGGGAUAACAGUUGGAAACGGCUGCUAAUACCGGAUACGCUCAAAAUGAACUUUUUGAGGAAAGAUGGCCUCUGCUUGCAUGCUAUCACGUAAGGAUGAGUCCGCGUCCCAUUAGCUUGUUGGCGGGGUAACGGCCCACCAAGGCAACGAUGGGUAGCCGAUUUGAGAGGAUGAUCGGCCACACUGGAACUGAAACACGGUCCAGACCCCUACGGGAGGCAGCAGUGGGGAAUAUUGCGCAAUGGGCGAAAGCCUGACGCAGCGACGCCGCGUGAGGGGAAUGAAGGUUUUCGGAUCGUAAACCUCUGUCAGAAGGGAAGAAACUACGUUGUGCUAAUCAGCAGCGUACUGACGGUACCUUCAAAGGAAGCACCGGCUAACUCCGUGCCAGCAGCUGC